RNAcentral lists this ribosomal RNA (887 nucleotides) under uncultured euryarchaeote. Its description in RNAcentral is "bacterial SSU rRNA". It matches the Rfam family "Archaeal small subunit ribosomal RNA", at positions 456 to 1345 of the family's 1478-position model. The record is from RNAcentral. Lineage: Archaea; Methanobacteriati; Methanobacteriota.
UGUCAGCCGCCGCGGUAAUACCAGCAGCCCGAGUGGUGGUCGAUUUUAUUGAGUCUAAAACGUUCGUAGCCGGUCUAGUAAAUCCUUGGGUAAAUCGGGGGGCUUAACCUUCCGAAUUCCGAGGAGGCUGCUAGGCUUGGGAUCGGGAGAGGUAAGAGGUACUUCAGGGGUAGGGGUAAAAUCCUGUAAUCCUUGGAGGACCACCGGUGGCGAAGGCGUCUUACUAGAACGAAUCCGACGGUGAGGGACGAAGCCCUAGGUCGCAAACGGGAUUAGAUACCCCGGUAGUCUAGGGUGUAAACGCUGCCGACUUGGUGUUGGGGGCCCUUCGGGGGCAUUCAGUGCCGGAGAGAAGUUGUUAAGUCGGCUACUUGGGGAGUACGUCCGCAAGGAUGAAACUUAAAGGAAUUGGCGGGGGAGCACCGCAACGGGAGGAGCGUGCGGUUUAAUUGGAUUCAACACCGGAAAACUCACCAGGGGAGACCAUCACAUGAAAGCCAGGCUGAUGACUUUGCUUGAUUCUUGGAGAAGUGGUGCAUGGCCAUCGUCAGUUCGUACUGUAAAGCGUUCUCUUAAGUGAGAUAACGAACAAGACCCACACUUAUAAUUGCUACUCAGGUCCCCGGAUCUGAGGCACAUUAUCGGGACCGCUGGCGCUAAGCCAGAGGAAGGAGUGGUCAACGGUAGGUCAGUAUGCCCUGAAUCUCCUGGGCUACACGCGCGCUACAAAGGGCGGGACAAUGGGUUCCGACACCGAAAGGUGCAGGCAAUCCCGAAACCCGUCCGUAGUUCGGACUGAGGGUCGUAACUCACCCUCACGAAGCUGGAUUCCGUAGUAAUCGCGAAUCAAAAACUCGCGGUGAAUAUGUCCCUGCUCCUUGCACACA